UACGUAGGUGGCAAGCGUUGUCCGGAAUUAUUGGGCGUAAAGCGCGCGCAGGCGGUUCUUUUAAGUCUGAUGUGAAAGCCCACGGCUCAACCGUGGAGGGUCAUUGGAAAUUGGAGAACUUGAGUACAGAAGAGGAAAGCGGAAUUCCACGUGUAGCGGUGAAAUGCGUAGAGAUGUGGAGGAACACCAGUGGCGAAGGCGGCUUUCUGGUCUGUAACUGACGCUGAGGCUCGAAAGCGUGGGGAGCAAACAGG
RNAcentral lists this ribosomal RNA (254 nucleotides) under uncultured bacterium. RNAcentral describes it as "partial 16S ribosomal RNA". It matches the Rfam family "Bacterial small subunit ribosomal RNA", at positions 524 to 776 of the family's 1533-position model. The record is from RNAcentral.